Non-coding RNA from Caenorhabditis elegans, 225 nucleotides. Lineage: Eukaryota; Metazoa; Nematoda; Chromadorea; Rhabditida; Rhabditidae. The record is from Ensembl.
ACAUUAAAUGACACACAUUCACAGAUUUCGAAGAAAAAGAAAAAACUGUUAAGAUUCAUUACCCAUUGUUCGAAAAAAAGGGGAACGUGGUGGAUGAGAUGGAAAGGUGGAUAAAAAUUGUGAAGUAAAAUCAUAGAAAAUAAAUUAUAUAGUUUUUCGAUUAGUCUUGCACCAUCAUUGCUCAACUUGCACGGUUCAUAUUACCUAGACUAUCAAUUUUGUGAU